AUUGAACGCUGGCGGCAUGCCUUACACAUGCAAGUCGAACGGCAGCACGGGAGCAAUCCUGGUGGCGAGUGGCGAACGGGUGAGUAAUAUAUCGGAACGUGCCCAGUCGUGGGGAUAACGUAGCGAAAGCUACGCUAAUACCGCAUACGAUCUAUGAAUGAAAGCGGGGGAUCGCAAGACCUCGCGCGAUUGGAGCGGCCGAUAUCAGAUUAGGUAGUUGGUGAGGUAAAGGCUCACCAAGCCGACGAUCUGUAGCUGGUCUGAGAGGACGACCAGCCACACUGGGACUGAGACACGGCCCAGACUCCUACGGGUGGCAGCAGUGGGGAAUUUUGGACAAUGGGCGCAAGCCUGAUCCAGCAAUGCCGCGUGCAGGAUGAA
RNAcentral lists this ribosomal RNA (381 nucleotides) under uncultured bacterium. Its description in RNAcentral is "bacterial SSU rRNA". It matches the Rfam family "Bacterial small subunit ribosomal RNA", at positions 30 to 412 of the family's 1533-position model. The record is from RNAcentral.